AAGGAGGAAAGACAAAAAAUCCCCUAGGAUUUGGAACCAGAGGUGCUGACACUGUGUGCCCUUGGUUAGGUGAGGAAAUAGCAAAUUUACAUCAAAAGCUGGUUUUCGUAAGAGAGUUUAGAAAAAUCAACAGGGAAAUAAUGAGGAAAUGGAGAGGAUGACCAAGAAAAAGAAGGAGGUAAUGAAGAUAGGUAUGGGACAAAACUCACAUGAACAGACAGCAAGGGCAGGGCUUGGCAUAAACUGCAAGUCUGAUAGAACAGCAGAAUUAGACCCAAGAUCAGAACACUCAUAUGCAAGUAAAAUUCAGUGGAAUUUCAGUCAACACCAUGAGUAAACAUAGCAAUUACAGGAUUCAAAAAUGGUAAACAAUGAUAGUUUUUUUUUUUCUUCUCAGCACUACAUGUGUCAUAUAGGCAGAAUUACCGUGUGUACUUUUCUUUGAUUAACCACAGUCUUUGAGUGGGGAGUGAAAAGCAAGACCAAAACCCAAGUCACAGCCCAGAGGAAUUCUUUAAAAUUACCUGUGGCAUGAUGGGGCCUGGUGAGACAAAAUGUAAUCACAACCACCCAUAUUCUCAAAUUUCUCAGUCCUUGAUGUCUAGAUGCAUAAAGAAUGACUCUGUUACUGUGGCCAGUCACAGUUCUCAAACCAGGCUGCUUAGGCAGUCUACAACCACAUGGUUAUCCUGCUCUUGGGGAUGGGACACCACAGUUUUAAUCAAACAGCCAUUAACAUGGGACAGCUGGGAAUCCCAGAGAGCCCUGCCAGCUUGGAAUUGCCAGGGUGGGAGAUUGAGAGGGGGAUUGAGGAGAAAUGGGCAGCUGGAAAUGAGCAAGGCUUUAAAGAAAGCACUAUUAGUCAGAAACAGGAAAACACUUGACAAAGUGCCAGUGGUAGGGGAUGAGGAGACAG
Long non-coding RNA from Motacilla alba alba, 916 nucleotides. RefSeq lists it as uncharacterized. Lineage: Eukaryota; Metazoa; Chordata; Aves; Passeriformes; Motacillidae. The record is from RefSeq and is a predicted model, not a curated record. The transcript is spliced from 2 exons.